Molecule: ribosomal RNA, 497 nt
Filed under: uncultured bacterium
Lineage: Bacteria
Description: partial 16S ribosomal RNA
Rfam family: Bacterial small subunit ribosomal RNA
Source: RNAcentral
GACGAACGCUGGCGGCGUGCCUAAUACAUGCAAGUUGAGCGCUGAAGGUUGGUACUUGUACCGACUGGAUGAGCAGCGAACGGGUGAGUAACGCGUGGGGAAUCUGCCUUUGAGCGGGGGACAACAUUUGGAAACGAAUGCUAAUACCGCAUAAAAACUUUAAACACAAGUUUUAAGUUUGAAAGAUGCAAUUGCAUCACUCAAAGAUGAUCCCGCGUUGUAUUAGCUAGUUGGUGAGGUAAAGGCUCACCAAGGCGAUGAUACAUAGCCGACCUGAGAGGGUGAUCGGCCACAUUGGGACUGAGACACGGCCCAAACUCCUACGGGAGGCAGCAGUAGGGAAUCUUCGGAAAUGGACGAAAGUCUGACCGAGCAACGCCGGGUGAGUGAAGAAGGUUUUCGGAUCGUAAAACUCGGUUGGUAGAGAAGAACGUUGGUGAGAGUGGAAAGCUCAUCAAGUGACGGUAACUACCCAGAAAGGGACGGCUAACUACGUG